GGGCCAAAUUUGAUCCUCCCCAGGUCUGUUAUUAUAAGUAUCAUGAAUGCUCGUAUUUUAAUGCUAGAUUUUUAUUUUUAUUGAACUUAUAGUUCUGCCUGAUUUUAUUUUCUAAUGAUUAAUGUCAUUGCCUUGAAAAUUUGUGGAGGGUCCUAGAGAAAUUUUAACUAUAGAUAACCCAAUUCUCUUGCAUAAAAAAAAUGUGAGAUGAUUGUGGCUGAUGUAAACAAUUCUCAGGCUGUAUAGCCUUUGAAUGAUGACAUAUUACUUUUGCAUGUGUAUCUUGUUAUUCUUUCUAUUUUGAAUUCAGCCUAACAGGUCCUUACAACAUAGCUUAGGUUAGUACACAUGCCCAUUGCUUACGCCUAUUAUAUUUUAGCCUUCCUUUUAUUUCACUUCUUGGAAGUUCCAUUAGCAAAUUCAGUUCUAAAAAAUUAUAAAUUGGGAAAAAGUGGGUAACUUGAAUUACUAAUGAUGAAUUUGAAUUUGAUGAUCAGGGUAUCGUGUUAGAUGGAGUU
This 518-nucleotide unclassified non-coding RNA is filed under the name Hevea brasiliensis (rubber tree). Lineage: Eukaryota; Viridiplantae; Streptophyta; Magnoliopsida; Malpighiales; Euphorbiaceae. The record is from RNAcentral.